Molecule: small nucleolar RNA, 210 nt
Organism: Cyprinus carpio carpio
Lineage: Eukaryota; Metazoa; Chordata; Actinopteri; Cypriniformes; Cyprinidae
Source: Ensembl
GUGGCAUGAUGAAGGUGUUUAUCCAUUCGCCGAGCGCUGCCGACUCUCUCCCUCAGCGGCCGUGCGGUCCGUUCUGGGCCGCGGGGUCACAGCGGUCUGGUUCUGCUCGGCUGGUCCAGUGUUCUGUUGGGUCGGCCGUGGCGGGGUCUGAUGUGCUGGUGCGAGGGGUCAGAGCGGUUCUGACAAAGACGAAUAGACGUGUCUGAUCAC